RNAcentral lists this unclassified non-coding RNA (2241 nucleotides) under Leishmania donovani. Its description in RNAcentral is "gene:LdHU3.30.1360(CDS-product:autophagy_protein_ 5_(ATG5))". Lineage: Eukaryota; Euglenozoa; Kinetoplastea; Trypanosomatida; Trypanosomatidae. The record is from RNAcentral.
GUUUGCGCGCCGUCUCGACCCUUUUCUUCUGAAAGUCACUGGGAGCGACUAAGAGCAGCAGUCGUGGUAUUGCAUCCUGCUCAAAUGCGCUCGCAGAAGGAGUACAUCGGCGGCGUGCCCGUCGUCGUCUCCCUCGCAGAUGGCGAUAUCCUUCACCCCACCGACCGCCCUGCACCUGCAGCGUUUGUGCUGCCGCGCACCACGAUGCUUCUCGCUAUUGUGCGGGACCUCCUUCAGCUGUUUCGCCCGUACGCGGCGGCACUGCACCCAGAGACGACGCAGGUGUGGUUUAGCGUCCGCGACACCCCGCUGUCGUGGCUGUAUCCGGCAGGUGCCGUCAAGGACUACGUGAACGAGUGUGUCCGCGAAGAGCGGGCGGCACACCUCUCGGCGUCAUCGACGUCAUCCCCGUCCUCAUCAGCAGCAGCAGCGCUUCUGCAGUCUCAUCUGUGCUCCAUCUUGAGUGAGCCGCUCGAGCUCAGCUUCCACAUCCACUCUCUCACGAAGGGGAGCUCGCUGGCCCGCACCGUGCCCCUCUACAUUAACUACGACAGACUGGAGGAGCACAUCCGGAUGGAGGUGAAGCAGGCGCACAAGGCUGCCUACACUGUGCUCUACGGCAACUACACCAUCUAUCAGCGCGAAGCUGAGUCGGCGCUGCAGGCGGCCGUUGGUUUAGCACUCUACCGGCCCUUUGACGCUGCGGCACAGGAGCAGCUCCAGCAGCAGCGCUACCGCGACCCCGGUUUGAGCGGCAGCGGCGGCGCCGGUGUAGGCAAUGGCGGCUACUCGUCAAGCAGCAGCCCCGGUGGUGGGUAUUCGGCGCCCUUUGCAUUUACAUCUCCAUACCUCCUGGCCGAAUACCAGCAGCUGCUCCGCGGUCUGCUGACGCCUCGGCCGCACGUGGCGUACCUCAUCCGCAUCGGAUUCCCCUUCGCCUAUCGAGGCGCGGCAGGCCGGAGCGAAAGCGGGUACUUACAGUACGAUGCUCACCGUGUCUCAGCAGCUCCGGCGCUAGCACUCUCCGUAACGGCGACGGAGGCGGCAGCUGCUCCGACGAUUGAGCCGGAGCAGCUGCCUCUGGGUCUGCUGCUGUGGCGACUGUUCCGUGCACCUGUUCUGCGGUGGAAGGCCCAGCAACCGCAGGAGCAUCCUAGGGACAGCACAUCGCCAUCUACCUCUGCGCACGCUUCAGCAGUGGUGCUCAGUGAAGUGGAGCGCACUUAUCAGCAGCUACUGCGCACCCUUGCCCCCUAUUAUGCUGACCCUCCGCGUUGCGCGACGGAUGAGCUGGAGAAGCAGGAGCCGCUCUUGACCAGCACCCCGCCGGAGCCGCCGGCGUGGGCGGCGUGGGAGCACGCGAUGGUGCAAGCCUUCAUGCGCGACUACGAGGAGCGCCCCGAGAAAUGCGGUCUAGGACUUGAGUUUGCGGAGGCUGCCGCGCCGUCUGCCACCUCGCCCAAUGCUGGCCGCCGCGUGCGCUUUAUGGUGCAGGGCAUCCAGCCCCCGCUUUCGACUCCCGGUAGCUUCCUGGAGGCGCAUCUCUCCUCUAGCGACCGCGCCAUUUUUGUCACGGUUCAGGUAUGAUGUCAGCGAGGAUUUUGCAGAGAGGAGAGGUGGAGGUGGGAGAAGGAGGAGGACUAAGCGGGGGCAUCGUGGGAAGGUGCGCGGUUGGACUGCUGCGCACUGCUUUCUCCUUUUGUGUCUCUUCACGUUCAUGCUUGCGCGUCUCUCUUUUUCUGCUGCUGCCGCGUGCGCUUGAGGUGGGAGCGCUUGUGCCCACGAUAGUAUCGCGCCCCCUCCGCAACUCUGUGCACGUGCGUGGUCGCGCGCCUCCGUGGCUGUGCUUGGGCUGUCUCGGUGUCUGUGUGUGCUUGUGUGCCGGCAAUACUUCCAGUGUGUCUUUCCCUCCCUCUCUCAGCCGUCUGAAUCUCCGUUUGUCUGCCUUGCUGGUGCCGCGGACGGCUUCCCCCCUUUUCCUCACGCAGAUCCACACAUCGGGGAGGGGAGGAGUGGGGAGGUGUGUGUGUGUGUGCGUGUGUUGCAGGUGCAGGGGAGCCGGGCUCUGUGUCUUGACCCUUUUCUUUCUGCUAUUUCCCUCUCAUUCACUUGUCCCUCUCAUUCUCUCUUCGUUGCCCGGCGCCUACCCACCCCCAUCAAGCAUCAAGCAAACACACGCACACGUACACAUACAUGCGCGCAUACAAGUACGUGGGAGUGGGGAGACGCUAUGAAAUCACG